AGUCUCUGCUGAUGUGACCUGCUGCAGUUUAGUCAACGAAAUAUUCUAGCUGGUUUAAACUCGCACCGAGGACGAUAUGGAAUUCAUUUGGACAUUUUAAACAUUUAUGUCUUCAAGAAGGCCCGUGCAUAGUGUCACUUUUCAAAGGUCAUCAUGGAUUCGCUGUAGUUCAGUGGCUUUUCUCCAGACAGUGUGACUGACAGCAGGAACUGGGACAAGGGACUUUGGUGCUACUAACGUUAGCUAGCAACGUAACUUAGCUAGACGUUUUGACACAGCGUUACUGCUGAGAGAGUUGUUGUCUAGCGUUGGCGUUAGCCCUCAGCUGUCGUUGGCUGCUGCUUGCUAAUGUGUAGCUAUAGUUAUUGCCUCCCAGUGGUGGAAAAAGUAUUCAAAUCUUUUAACGAUUCCUGGAGUGGUUUGAGAUCCUUGAGAGAUUCUCAAGGCAGCAUGGCUCCCAAAGACAUCAUGACCAACUCCCAUGCCAAAUCCAUCCUCAAUGCCAUGAACUCACUUCGCAAGAGCAACACACUCUGUGAUAUCACUCUGAGAGUGGAGAACACAGAUUUUCCAGCUCACCGGAUUGUCUUGGCUGCCUGCAGCGACUACUUUUGUGCCAUGUUCACCAGUGAGCUUGCAGAAAAGGGGAAAUCUUUUGUCGACAUUCAGGGGCUCACUGCAGCGACUAUGGAGAUCCUGUUAGACUUUGUGUACACAGAAACAGUGUUAGUCACAGUGGAGAACGUACAAGAACUGCUUCCUGCAGCGUGCUUACUUCAGCUCAAAGGGGUAAAAAGAGCAUGUUGUGAUUUUUUGGAGGGUCAGCUUGAUCCCUCCAACUGCCUGGGCAUUCGAGACUUUGCCGAAACUCACACCUGCCUCGACCUGAUGCAGGCCGCCGAGCUCUUUUCCCAGAAGCAUUUCUCCGAGGUGGUUCAGCAUGAGGAGUUCAUGCUGCUCAGCCAGACAGAAGUUGAAAAGCUCAUCAAAUGUGAUGAAAUCCAGGUGGACUCAGAGGAGCCUGUAUUUGAAGCUGUGUUAAACUGGGUCAAACACAACCGAAAAGAGCGAGAGCCCUACUUGCCAGACAUGCUCGAGUUUGUCCGAAUGCCGCUCCUCACCCCCCGCUAUAUUACAGAUGUCAUCGAUGCCGAGCCCCUCAUUCGGUGUAGCCUGCCAUGUCGAGACCUUGUCGAUGAAGCCAAGAAAUUCCACUUAAGACCAGAGCUAAGGAGUGAGAUGCAGGGCCCACGCACACAAGCUAGAUUAGGUGCCAAAGAAGUCCUGUUGGUUAUAGGCGGGUUUGGCAGCCAGCAAUCACCAAUAGACAUAGUUGAGAAAUAUGACCCGAAAACACAAGAAUGGAGCUCCCUUCCUAACAUUGCACGGAAAAGGCGAUAUGUCGCCACGGUGUCUCUCCACGAUCGGGUUUAUGUGAUCGGAGGCUACGAUGGCCGUUCUAGGCUCAGCUCCGUGGAGUGCCUGGACUACACAGCGGACGAGGACGGUGUUUGGUACACUGUCGCCACCAUGAAUGUGCGCCGUGGCCUCGCUGGAGCCACGACACUCGGAGACAUGAUCUAUGUUGCCGGUGGCUUCGAUGGCAGCAGGCGUCACACCAGCAUGGAGCGAUAUGACCCAAACAUUGACCAGUGGAGCAUGCUGGGAGAUAUGCAGACAGCUAGAGAAGGAGCUGGUCUGGUGGUGGCCAGUGGACUCAUAUACUGUCUAGGUGGAUACGAUGGCCUAAAUAUCCUGAAUUCAGUGGAGCGGUAUGACCCACACACAGGCCACUGGACAAGUGUUACACCAAUGGCCACCAAGCGGUCAGGUAGGGGCGGGUGUGGCUUUACUCAACGACCACAUCUACGUAGUGGGAGGCUUUGAUGGUGUUUCACACCUCGACUCUGUUGAGGUUUACAACAUCAGAACAGACUAUUGGACCACUGUAGCCAGCAUGACGACGCCUCGGUGUUACGUAGGAGCAACUGUUCUCAGAGGACGUCUCUACGCCAUCGCUGGAUAUGAUGGGAACUCUCUCCUCAGCAGCAUUGAAUGUUACGACCCAGUUAUCGACUCCUGGGAGGUCGUCACCUCGAUGGCGACGCAGCGGUGUGACGCUGGCGUCUGCGUUCUACGAGAAAAGUGAUCUUUCCAAGAACAAGAACCACAAGAGCGAGGGGGAAAAAAGAGCAUAUGGGAAACGGGCAGCUAGACUUUGCUAAAAUGCCACUAAAAGAGAGCCACACAAUAGGGAGAUGUGUGUUUGCCUGAAUGCAAAUAAGUACUCUCGAAAACAGAAUAGGUGCAGCAGUUUGGGCUGCCUUCUCUACUGGAUGGUCAACCCUUCGACAGUUGGACUGUGCAACGGAGAUUCAGCUUCGCCGUGGUGGUCUUCACCUCAAAAGAGGCCUCCAAGGAGCCCAUCGCCACAUGCAUGACUCUCUUCGGUGGUACUUGUUGCUUUCGUUACCUGUGAGAUUAUUUUUUCAUUUUGUCUUAAAAGUGCAAUAUAUUUCUACUCAUCAUAACAGAAAAAAGAUGGAGUUGAUUUAGACUCCAGUUGCUGCUAUAUGCCUUAUAACUUUGGCCUACAUCAAACAGUGAACAUCCGUGUUGCCUCCCCUUUGACUUUGAUGAUAGUUCCAGUACAUUGGCUUAUUAUCGAUUGUACUCAUUUGGCAUUUGUAAGGUCCUUAAUGGGUCGGUAAUUCAAGCCCUUUUGUAAUUCUUUCUGUAAACAGUGCUUCUAGAUUCACACACAGACGGUUUAUUAAGUAUUGUUGCUCAGAAUAUAAAUUUAGAGAUCAAUAUUGUUUUAGAAAAUGACUGAAUUGUACCAGUUGACUUAGGUUAUUUUGUCCCUGAAAAAUCACAAAGUAAUAAGUAUGAGGUGCAUGUGAUUUUUUUUUUUUUAUUUUCUUCCUCAGCUCAUAAAUCUGGGUAUCGUCGUGUAGGACACAAAAUCCCUGCAUCACUGUUGCCUGCGAAGUGAAUAAAAACACUUAGAACUGA
Etheostoma spectabile (orangethroat darter) is the source of this 3015-nucleotide RNA transcript. It is a transcript of the gene named kelch-like family member 12, with no coding region annotated. Lineage: Eukaryota; Metazoa; Chordata; Actinopteri; Perciformes; Percidae. The transcript has 13 exons. The record is from RefSeq and is a predicted model, not a curated record.